Molecule: long non-coding RNA, 2647 nt
Organism: Leucoraja erinaceus (little skate)
Lineage: Eukaryota; Metazoa; Chordata; Chondrichthyes; Rajiformes; Rajidae
Exons: 3
Source: RefSeq, a predicted model, not a curated record
GGGGCCCGGCCGCAAGCUGGGCGUGACGUCAUGGGCCGCCAGCACACUGAAGCGAAAACUAGACAAUUGCAUGCCGACCUUGUGUGUAAAGCAUAGAUCAUAGAUCUUCAGCGGAGCUCUAUGAUCUUUGGUGUAAAGUUCUGUGUGUGUGUGUGUUGGAAAUCUGACAUGAACCCUGCCGGAUGCUGCAAAUAUAUCUGCGUUGUGAGAGAGACAAGAAAAACUGAGUUGAACGUUCAAGUACAGGGACCUGCUGAAUGUUCCCAAGCUGUUUUUGGACGUUUAUGUGUAAUGCAAGUUGCAGAACUUGCGCAAGUUGCUACGGAAGUACCAACUUUACAUGCAUUAGCAUUCAACCACACUCGUCCGACCUUCCAUAUGAGGAACAGAAUGCUUGGGAAAACACAAGUGUCAGAGACUCUCGUUCAAUCCUGACCUUGGAUGCUGUCUGUAUGGUGUUUGCACGUUCUCCCUGUGACCACGUGAGUUACCUCCAGGUUCCCAACCGUCUGCCUACACCAGGGGGCAACACAACCCCACGGAAGGAGUGAAGGACUGAUCUGCCACUGAGGGACCUCCCAUUGAAGGAUUGAGACCCACACAGAUGAGAGGUCAAAGAGUAGGUCACCCCACCAGCCCUCUCAGCUUGAAUCCGUGUGUGGCAUAAGAGAUUAGUGGAGUGCAAGAUAAUUUACCCCGUGCAAAAUUGGUACAGCUUUAUUUGUGUACGUUUUUGAAGUCAACUACAAUUUUUUUCUCUUUAGCAUCAAGACUGUGAACUGAGACUCAUACUUCAGAGUUGCGGAAUAUGUACAAUGAACCUAAACAAGCGAAAAGGAACAAUUGUGUCCCUUGCACCAAUGGGUGCAGCUUUGUGCACACAGAUCUGACCACAAGAGACAGAAUUCGACUUUGUAUUAAUCCACAUUGUGGUCUAAAUUCUGUUUUUAAAAAUCUGCUAAAUGCUUUGCAGGCGUAACUGCUGAGCACAACAUUGCAACAUGCACAUGCACACACACACAUACACGCACACACACACACACACCCGACUCAUAACAUAAGCUGCAGAACUAUUAACUCAGCAAAUUCAUCAGGUCCUAUUUUAUCUGGGUUUGUAAGCAAAGGCUUCAAAGAUGUUUGCAGAUGAGCUCUUCAUUCAAGCCAUUAUUUUUUGCUUUCUUCUCGUCCAGCACUUCCCCCACCACCCAAAUCUAUAGAUUGUCUUAGGGCUCAUUUUAGCUUCAAAUAUUUCGCCUGUCAAAUGUCACAGGCCAGGAUACGCUAGCUGCAAAACAGCAGCAAGAACACCGAACAAAACUAAACGCUAUCUGUGUUAGUUUCCAAAAAUUAAGUGAGUCAUUCAGCUACAAAAAUGAUAGGAAGCAUGUAAAUCUAAUCAGCCUUUCUUUUGUAUCUGAUUCGAGGCAAGACUAUGUUGCAACACCCCAUUGCAAAUAUCAGUGUAUUUAGAGCCUGUGAUGUUAAACAUAUUGCUCGGUGUGAUAGUAUUUUGGCCGUGCCAUCUCUGCUCCUAUGAUCGGCAAACAUUUCAUCAACUUUGAAGCAAACUAUUUUACAAAAUAAUUCACACACAAGUGCAAUUCCAAAGCAACAUAUUAUGUUUCAAGGCUGUUAUGGCAUGAAUUAUGAUUACUGUUGCUUGAAACAAAAUUGCUGCUCCCACCAUUCGCAAUCAUGGGUCUACUCUGUCUGUGCCCAAGUGCAGCAAACUGCAGCCGGCUCUGUCCAACUCAUCAUAAUGCUAUGCUGCAAGGCUGCAAACACAACCACAGCAGCAAACAGCCAUUUUGAAACCGACUGCAGAGAAACAAAAUGCGAUCAGCUGCUGCAAAAUGGCUGCUGCUGAAAGCACACCAGCUCACAGCCCCGACACCACUGAGCAACAUUACAGAGUGGCAAUCGAGAAUUUAUCCUGACUUCCACAUCAGUAAAUGAUGCCCUAAACAAAAUGGUAACAAAAGGCGAAGCUACGUUUUAUAAUUGUAAUCUAUAGUUACUUUCUCUACCUAAAUCCAUUAAAAUAGUAUCGAGACUACAAGUCAUUGACAACCUUGCGUCUUUGACCUGAUCCUAGACUCUAAUCCUGGCGUAAAGAAAAAACACAAAAUCCUUUAAAGACAAAUAGUUUGUUUUAUUCUAUUGCACUUGCAAACAUUUAGGAUUUUAAUUUAGAUUAAAAAGAUUAGACUUUCAAUUGCUGCAAGUAAGUAUUUAAUUGUUCCGUUUGGGCACAUAUUACAAUUAAAUACUCCUGACUAGAUUGUACCACAAGGCAGUAGCCAGCUUGCUUGGCAGAUCAAUAGUAGAACGUCAAUUGCUUUGGAUACCAACUGACAUUACACACUUCAGGCACAGUAAAAUUAAACUGAAGCACAACAUUUAAAAAGGCAUUUCCUUCAUAUUAGAUUCGGCGCUUAAUAGCAGGGAAAGGAAACAGCUUCUCUGAAGCUGAAGCUAAAAGCUAAAAUAGGGAGACUUUCUUCAUUAAUCCCUUGGCCUUGUCCAACAUUUAUACCAAUUUACAGUGUUACUGGUGCAACGUCAAACCUGCCCGAAUAAAGUCCGGGAGUCAAGCAAGAUAGGGGAUGAUAAAGAUAUGCAGAUGAAGAAACAAAAAAUCCCAAGC